Molecule: long non-coding RNA, 1422 nt
Filed under: Piliocolobus tephrosceles (Ugandan red Colobus)
Lineage: Eukaryota; Metazoa; Chordata; Mammalia; Primates; Cercopithecidae
Description: lncRNA (ENSPTEG00000019076.1)
Source: RNAcentral
UCUUCAUUACAUGAAUAAAUUGAUACUAAUCCAACAUUAUUAUAAAUAUGUCCUCUUCUUUCAAUACAUCUGUUAUUAUUAUUAUUAUUAUUAUUAUUAUUAUUAUUAUUGUUGUUGUUAUUAUUAAAAUUGUUGGUAGAAUUAUAUUUCCAAUAUAGUUGUUUAAAGUUUUUUUAUUUUAGGACUACAUAAUAAAUAAAAAUAUAUUUUUAUAUAUGUAUUGUAUAAUAAUCUACGUAAGUAAUUAUUAUGUCUGUACUUAAAUAGUUUUAUAAGUUUUAUAAGUUUUGUAUGUUUUCUUUUAUUUGUAUUUGUAUAUACUGUAUAAGAUGUUAUACAUAUUAGUUGAUCAAUCAUCUUUUUUAAUUCUUAAAGUGUAAUCAGACAUAUUUCUUUUAUCACAUACUUGCAUGUUAUAUAAAAUAUAUAAUAAGUUUGUAUUUAUAAUAUAAAGGUAUUUAUUUACAUUUGAAAAUUUUAUUAUAUCUAUUAUUGAUCCGAGUUUUUGUUUAUUUGUUUUGGUUGUAUCACCAAUUUUUUGUAUUCUUUUUAAUGUAGGAAUCACUUGUUCGGUUAAGUUGCUUUAUUAGUUUUUUAAUACCACUUCGUUUUAAAUCGUUUUUGCAUAUACCACUAUACAUACCACUACAUAUACCACUACACAUACCACUACACAUACCACUACACAUACUACUACAUAUACCACUACACAUACCACUACACAUACCACUACAUAUACCACUACAUAUACCACUACAUAUACCACUACACAUACCACUACAUAUACCACUACAUAUACCACUACAUAUACCACUACACAUACUACUACAUAUACCACUACACAUACCACUACAUAUACCACUACACAUACUACUACAUAUACCACUACACAUACCACUACAUAUACCACUACACAUACUACUACAUAGUUUUUUGCACAUAUCUUUAUUAAUCAUUUUCACAUGUAUUAAACGGAUCACUUGAUUAAGCCAUAACAUUAAAUAUAUUAUUUUAUAUUCCAAUGCAUUUACUAUAUUUACACGAUAUGAUUUAUCACCAUCUGUUUGUUCGGUAUACCCCAUGUUACGACUACUAUUAGUAGCACCAGUAACAGCAGUUAUAAUUUGCAAAAACUUUAUUAAAAACUUUUCUCUUAUAUUAUUUGUAGGUAUUUUUAAUAAUAUGUCGUUAAUUUUUUUGAUAUUAUUAAUAUUGGUUAUUUUUUUUAGUUAAAUCUGUAUAUAGGACACUAUUAUUUAUAACUUUAGAUGCACUUUUUGGUGCAUCCAAAUAUGUACCACCUAACUUAGAUACAUUUGAAUAUCUCGUAAUUAGUUCAUCAACAAUAUGUAUUCUGAUAGAAGCAUGGUUCGAAGCGCUUCCAGAAAAAUAAACGAAAAAAGGGUUACUUGUUCUUUUACA